CCAGCCGGCAGACAUCCAGGCUCCAGCUCCCGUCCUGCGUCUUGCUGCACACCUGUCUCCGUCUCUGUUCCUCCUCUGAAAACCCGCCUGGCCCUCUGGAAAUGUGCAGAGAGCUCGGGUGUUCUCUGGUGCGGCCGGGAAGGGCCCAGACCUGCCCGUGUGUUUCCUCUGCCAGCAGCCCCGGGAAGGCCCCGAGAGUUGGGAAGGCUUGAACAAUCCAUUAGAGGGAACUUGAGUUUGAGGGGAGUGAGUGGAGUUUUGUGGAGAUUGGGUAUAUUCCAAAAUAAGAAAAGCCAAGCUUUAUCAGUCCACUGCUAUUUUCAGUUGCUUUAAUAAAUUUCAACGUGAUGCUGAA
This is a long non-coding RNA of Dipodomys spectabilis (banner-tailed kangaroo rat), 355 nucleotides long. RefSeq lists it as uncharacterized. Lineage: Eukaryota; Metazoa; Chordata; Mammalia; Rodentia; Heteromyidae. The transcript has 2 exons. The record is from RefSeq and is a predicted model, not a curated record.